GUGAGGAAUAUUGGUCAAUGGGGGCAACCCUGAACCAGCCAAGUCGCGUGAAGGAUGAAGGUCUUAUGGAUUGUAAACUUCUUUUAUACAGGAAUAAAUUGGGGGACAUGUCCCCUUUUGCAUGUACUGUAUGAAUAAGGAUCGGCUAACUCCGUGCCAGCAGCCGCGGUAAUACGGAGGAUCCGAGCGUUAUCCGGAUUUAUUGGGUUUAAAGGGUGCGCAGGCGGGAUGUUAAGUCGGCGGUGAAAUUUUGCAGCUCAACUGUAAAAGUGCCUUCGAUACUGGCCUCCUUGAGUGUGGAUGAAGUUGGCGGAAUUUGUGGUGUAGCGGUGAAAUGCUUAGAUAUCACGAGGAACUCCGAUUGCGCAGGCAGCUUACUAAGCCACAACUGACGCUCAUGCACGAAGGCGUGGGGAUCAAACA
RNAcentral lists this ribosomal RNA (423 nucleotides) under uncultured bacterium. Its description in RNAcentral is "bacterial SSU rRNA". It matches the Rfam family "Bacterial small subunit ribosomal RNA", at positions 354 to 774 of the family's 1533-position model. The record is from RNAcentral.